UUCGAUAUAUGAAAGCACUUAACUUUUUUAUCUAAAUACAAAGUCUCUUUCAGGAAUCUUGCACUAUAUGAGCAUGGAUAUCAUCCGAAGUAGGAGACAGCUUUCCAAGAAGGUAUUGUAUGCAUUUAUUCCUUUGCCAAGCAACAUGACCUUGUCGUGUCCUUUAUAGGUUGCUGGGAGAUGUUCUUUACUCUAUUCCUUGAUAUAUGUCCAGAUCGGCAAGCAUC
RNAcentral lists this long non-coding RNA (227 nucleotides) under Elaeis guineensis (African oil palm). Its description in RNAcentral is "long non-coding RNA (EGUI_LNC029416)". Lineage: Eukaryota; Viridiplantae; Streptophyta; Magnoliopsida; Arecales; Arecaceae. The record is from RNAcentral.